UUAGAGCCUAAAAACUCUCCAAACCCACUGUAAACCUACCCGAAGAGUUGCUUCGGCAGGCGAUCCCUCGGGGGGGAUCGUAGCCCGCAAGGGCGCCUGCCGGCGGCAUCAACACUAAACUCUUGCCGUAUCGUGUCCUCUGAGGAGAAAAACAAAUAAGCAAA
Molecule: unclassified non-coding RNA, 164 nt
Filed under: uncultured fungus
Lineage: Eukaryota; Fungi
Description: sequence contains ITS1, 5.8S rRNA gene
Source: RNAcentral